This 1389-nucleotide ribosomal RNA is filed under the name uncultured bacterium. RNAcentral's name for it is "bacterial SSU rRNA". It matches the Rfam family "Bacterial small subunit ribosomal RNA". The record is from RNAcentral.
AGAGUUUGAUCCUGGCUCAGGAUGAACGCUGGCGGCGUGCUUAACACAUGCAAGUCGAACGAGAACUUGAGAGACUGAUUCUUCGGAUGAAGUCCCUUGAGGGAAAGUGGCGGACGGGCGAGUAACACGUGAGCAACCUACCCUUUACAGUGGAAUAACAAUCGGAAACGAUUGCUAAUACCGCAUAACAUAUACCUUAGGCAUCUUCGGUAUAUCAAAGAUUUAUCGGUAUAGGAUGGGCCUGCGUCUGAUUAGCUGGUUGGUGAGGUAACGGCUCACCAAGGCAACGAUCAGUAGCCGACCUGAGAGGGUGAUCGGCCACAUUGGAACUGAGACACGGUCCAAACUCCUACGGGAGGCAGCAGUGGGGAAUAUUGCACAAUGGGCGAAAGCCUGAUGCAGCAACGCCGCGUGAGCGAGGAAGGCCUUUGGGUCGUAAAGCUCUGUCGGGAAGGAAGAUAAUGACGGUACUUCCCGAGGAAGCCCCGGCUAACUACGUGCCAGCAGCCGCGGUAAUACGUAGGGGGCGAGCGUUAUCCGGAAUUAUUGGGCGUAAAGAGUGCGUAGGUGGUUUCUUAAGUGUGGGGUGAAGGCCAUUGGCUUAACCAGUGUAAGCCCCGCAAACUGGGAGACUUGAGUGCAGGAGAGGAAAGCGGAAUUCCUAGUGUAGCGGUGAAAUGCGUAGAUAUUAGGAGGAACACCAGUGGCGAACGCGGCUUUCUGGACUGUAACUGACACUGAGGCACGAAAGCGUGGGGAGCAAACAGGAUUAGAUACCCUGGUAGUCCACGCCGUAAACGAUGAGCACUAGGUGUCGGGGUCGCAAGGCUUCGGUGCCGCAGUUAACGCAUUAAGUGCUCCGCCUGGGGAGUACGUGCGCAAGCAUGAAACUCAAAGGAAUUGACGGGGACCCGCACAAGCAGCGGAGCAUGUGGUUUAAUUCGAAGCAACGCGAAGAACCUUACCAGGGCUUGACAUCCCUCUGACCGGCGUGUAACGGCGCCUUCCCUUCGGGGCAGAGGUGACAGGUGGUGCAUGGUUGUCGUCAGCUCGUGUCGUGAGAUGUUGGGUUAAGUCCCGCAACGAGCGCAACCCUUGUCAUUAGUUGCCAUCAGGUAAAGCUGGGCACUCUAGUGAGACCGCCGGGGAUAACUCGGAGGAAGGUGGGGAUGACGUCAAAUCAUCAUGCCCCUUAUGUUCUGGGCUACACACGUGCUACAAUGGCCGGUACAGAGAGAUGCAAUAUCGCGAGGUGGAGCAAAACUCUAAAACCGGUCCCAGUUCGGAUUGCAGGCUGAAACCCGCCUGCAUGAAGUCGGAGUUGCUAGUAAUCGCGAAUCAGAAUGUCGCGGUGAAUGCGUUCCCGGGUCUUGCACACACCGCCCGUCA